This 175-nucleotide non-coding RNA is filed under the name bovine gut metagenome. Its description in RNAcentral is "malK-I RNA". It matches the Rfam family "malK-I RNA". The record is from RNAcentral.
GCAGGCGGCUCUCCACCUUUCAGCCGUCUGUGACGAAAAAAGGAGGAAAAGGACAGGGCCCGGGGCUCGGGCUGCGGCAGUGUGGAGACCUGCCGCAAAGCGGCGCAGUCCAUCGCGGCUGGCCGUGAGCACACAGCAAGCGGAGGCUCUGUGUGCGGAGCCGGAAAACAUGGCA